ACCAAACACGAUAGCAGUCUCAAGCCAUAAACUUCCAAAUAGAAAACACAAAAAAAUGCAAACCAUCAAUUUUGCUUCUACAGACCACAUCAUAUACCAUAAAUCAUUCCACACACAAACAAAUAUUUGCGUCAGAGAGCGUUUGAAUAUCUAGAAAACGACAGCUAAUCAGUAAUUGGCCUAAAUAGCAACACCCUACUUCCAUUUGGAUACAAACGUAGAAUAAUCAAUACUGAAGUUUCCAAUAAAAUGAUAAAAAUAUCAUAGAUCCCAUUACACUGAACAAAUCCAUUCCAUUAGCAGUGAAGAUUAAAGACGCCACCCCAUUUUUUCGCCUCAGGUGUCAAUGAAAAUGCGAUAGAUACUAAACACGCAAUCUUAAAACUGCGAACAUAGUAAAAAAGAGAUGAUAAGCAAUAAAGGAGCUGAGAUCUUCCCAUUACCUCAUGAUUGGAAGCUUUCAAGAA
RNAcentral lists this unclassified non-coding RNA (467 nucleotides) under Hevea brasiliensis (rubber tree). The record is from RNAcentral. Lineage: Eukaryota; Viridiplantae; Streptophyta; Magnoliopsida; Malpighiales; Euphorbiaceae.